Small nuclear RNA from Ictidomys tridecemlineatus (thirteen-lined ground squirrel), 107 nucleotides. The record is from Ensembl. Lineage: Eukaryota; Metazoa; Chordata; Mammalia; Rodentia; Sciuridae.
GUGCUUGCUUCAGCAGCACAUAGACCAAUAUUGGACUCAUAUAGCCAAGAUUAGCAUGGCUCCUGAGCAAAGAGGGCAUGCAUUUUUGUGAAGUUUCCUUAUUAAAA